RNAcentral lists this ribosomal RNA (229 nucleotides) under uncultured type I methanotroph. RNAcentral describes it as "partial 16S ribosomal RNA". It matches the Rfam family "Bacterial small subunit ribosomal RNA", at positions 371 to 593 of the family's 1533-position model. Lineage: Bacteria; Pseudomonadati; Pseudomonadota; Gammaproteobacteria; Methylococcales; Methylococcaceae. The record is from RNAcentral.
AUGGGGGCAGCCUGAUCAGCAAUGCCGCGUGGGUGAAGAAGGCCUGCGGGUUGUAAAGCCCUUUCGGUUGGGAAGAACGUGCUUGAGGCUAAUACCCUUGAGCGGUGACGGUACCGACAGAAGAAGCACCGGCUAACUCCGUGCCAGCAGCCGCGGUAUUACGGAGGGUGCGAGCGUUAAUCGGAAUUACUGGGCGUAAAGCGCGCGUAGGCGGUAAUGUAAGUCGGAU